Acinonyx jubatus (cheetah) is the source of this 3391-nucleotide long non-coding RNA. RefSeq lists it as uncharacterized. The transcript is spliced from 2 exons. Lineage: Eukaryota; Metazoa; Chordata; Mammalia; Carnivora; Felidae. The record is from RefSeq and is a predicted model, not a curated record.
UCAAAACAUCAUUGUUUGUGUUUAUGGGAAAAUGAAGGCCCAUGGAAGGGGCCACUGAAGUGCUUAGUUGGGGUGGGGAAAGGAUGAGGGGCCCAGGGGCUAAACACUUUCUCCACUUGUAGUGGGUCUGCAAGGUGAUUCGAGAGCCCUUGGGGGAAGGAGGGGUGGGAGGUGUGAGUAGGAAACAGCCCAAAGAGAGCCACGAAAAGGACAUGAAAAAGGCCUUGAGUCUAAAUGGAGCAGUUCAUUAAUACUGCAGAGCCAGAAAACAACAAAAAUGACUAAGGAGUCUACCAAAUCCUGACACCCCCAUCAGCUCAAAAUUAAGAAAAGAUGUUUUCAGGGCACCUGGGUGGCUCAGUUGGUUAAGUGUGCCAUUUGGUUCAGGUCAUAAUCUCACAGUUGGUGGGUUCAAGACCUACAUUGGGCUUUGUGCUGUUAGCUCAGAGCCUGGAGCCUGCUUUGGAUUCUGUGUGUAUGUCUCUCUCUCUGCCCCUCCCCAACUUGUGCUCACUUUCUCUCUCUCUCUCUCUCUCUCUCUCCCUCCCUCUCUCAAAAAUAAAUACACAUUAAAGAUUUUUUUAAUAUAAAAAAAAUAAAAAAUGCUUCCAAUAGUCACUACCACCCCAAACUGUAUGCCUGGGCUAUCUUUCCAGUUUAUUUAGUUUGCAAAUUGAGUGAAAAGAUCACAUAUGCCCAAAGAGUAGAUUCCUGCCCUUUGUAUGACAUUCCAGAGCAGUGUUGCUCAUGAAUUCAACACUUACCUGAUCUCUCAAUGCCAGGGUUUUGUCCAGAGCCAGACAUAACCAAUGAGAAUGAGCCAUGGUUAUUACCCCAAUGGGACAUAUGUCUUUGCUAACAAAAAACACAAUCUAAUCAAUAGAAUGCAGGGAGCUGCUGCAGUCAGAGUCAGAACCAACACUUUGGAGCAGAGUACCACAGACUGGGUCUUAAACAACAGAUAUUUAUUUUCUCACAGCUCUUUGGCUGGAAGUCCCAGGUCAAGGUGUCAACAUGGUCAAUUUCUCCUGAGGCUUCUCUCCUUGGCUGGCAGAUGGUCAUCUUCUCCCAAUGUCCUCACGUGGUCUUUCCUCUGUGCCUUCUUGUCUUAUAAAGACACCAAUCCUAUUGGAUUGGGGCCCACCCACAGGACUUCAUUUAACCUUAAUCACCUCUUUAAAGACCCCAUCUUCAAAUAAAAUCACAUUCUAAGGUACCAAGGGUUAGGAUUUCAACAUAUGAAUUGGCAGGUGGGGAGCAGGGAACAAUUCAGUCCACAAAGGGGGCCUGAGUGGGAAAAAUGAACUCAACCUCAGGAUCACAACUUGAAUGAACAUUAGAGGGAUAGGUUCAUGAAAAAGUAUGCCAGUAUGAAAUAUGACACUUUGGAGGUAGACAGGAAGCAAAAGGCAGUUCUGAUUGGAGGAGUUAGAAAAAAAAUGCCCUUUAAGUAUUUAAAUUGGCCCCAUGAUAAGCUGGGGAGUAGUGGAGAUGUUGCAUUUGAGCAGAUAGCUGAUCCUACAAUUGCCACCUCAGGAGUUUCCUUGGAGAGGCUGGGAUGGUCAGGCUGGCCUCCAGAACCAUUUGUCCAACUUGACUUCACUCUUUUAAAAAGAAGGAACAUUGAACAUUGAAACACACAAAAACAUUUUUUUUUCUAAUGUAAAAGACAAUGAAUGGCUCAAUGCUAUAGGACUUGAUCUCAUUACUCUUGCUCUUCCCAUGGGAAUGAGAUGCUUUCUGCUGGCAUGUAUGCAUUGUAGGUGCAGGAUAAGAAGAGAGCCUUGAGAUGAAUGGGCUGCUCGGAAUUUGUUUUUCUAAUUCAUCCUCCCAUAAAAGGUUGCCAUGGCUGAUCCCUCCCCCAGACCAGCCUGCAGCCUGCAGCCAAGCCUGGCACAGCCUUUCAAGUCAUUGCCAAGAAAAGCAAGAGAAGUGGAUGCACCAGGAAAAGAAAAAAAAAGCAUAUCACCCGCCUCUGGGGAUAACUCCUCCCUCUGGGUAGUUACUCAAUGGAGUCAACAAAUGUCGGCACAAGUCUUGCUCUGGUCACUCAGGGAAAAAGAAUGAAAGAGACACAGUUCUCAUCAAAGGGUAGUGGGAAGAUCAGACAACUAAACAAUAGGGGAAAUGCUCAAUGGGAAGCGCCAGAAUAGAGGCGUGCGUCAUGCACCGGGGGUCAUGGUAGUUGGAAAGGGUGAGGUUGGGGAUCUUAACCUACCAGGGAAAGGGUCAUCAAGCUUGACCUCAGCCUCAAAGAAUGAUAAAAAUGGCAAUUAUAACACCUUAUGUCCUUGGAAGGUUUACAUGUGCCAGGCACCAUGCUAAAUUCUUCCUAUGCAUUAAUAUUUUACAGAUGUGUAAGCGAGAGUUAGAAAUGCCAGGUGACUCUUCCAAGGACACACAGGUAAUAGUGGCAGAAUUACAUCUUGGGGGCACAGAGAAGGCAUGAAGUCAAUAUCUGUGGAAUUAAAAUGAGUUGAUCCCAGGCCUGGCUGACUCUGGUAUGCUUUAAUCUCCUGCUAUGUGAAGGCAGGUGGGGUAGAGGUAAGGGAUAGGAAGGAUAACUCUGGCACGUGUGUGACAGCAGGGAGAUGCCAGCAGGCAGAGUUCAGGGGACUGCAGAAGGACUGGAACACAAGAGAGGAUGAGAAAUGAGGUAGGGAAUGUGGGCAGAGCCCAAGAGUGAUGGUGAAUUUCAUGUGUCACCUUGCCUGGGCCAUAGGACACCCAGGGAACUGAUUAAACACUUUCAGGGUAUGACUGUGAGAGUGUGUCCAGGGGAGAUUAGCACCAGAAUCAGUGGCCUGAGAAAAGCAGAUCACCCUCCCCAGCAUGAGUGGGCAUUGUCCAGUCUGUUGAAGGCCUGAACAGAAACAAAAGGUGGAGGAAGGAAGGACUCACUCUCUCAGCCUGACUGUAAGCUGGGACUUGGACCUCCUGCAUGUAGCUCUUCUGGCUUUCUGCCUCUCUCUCAGUCCUUCAGACACCACCAGCCUUCCUGGGUCUCUUGUUUGCAAAUGGCAGAUCAUGGGGCUUCUCAGCCUCCAUAAUCAUAGAGAGAGACAGCGUGUGAGCAGGGAAGGAGCAGAGAGAGAGAGACGCACACAGAAUGCGAAGCAGGCUCCAGGCUCUGAGCUGUCAGCACAGAGCCUGACGUGGGGCUCACACUCACAAACUUUAAGAUCAUGACCUGAGCUGAAGCGGGAUGCUCAACCCACUGAAGCCACCCAGGCACCCCUACAUGCUGCCUGGUUUUAUAUGGCCUGUGAAUGAAGAAUUGUUUUUACAUUUUCAGAUGGCUAGAAGAUUCAAAAGAAUAAUAAUAUUUGUGACAUGUGAAAAUUAUAUGAAAGUCAAAUUUCUGUCUCCAUAAAGUUUUAUUAGAACACAG